Molecule: ribosomal RNA, 800 nt
Filed under: Staphylococcus haemolyticus
Lineage: Bacteria; Bacillati; Bacillota; Bacilli; Caryophanales; Staphylococcaceae
Description: bacterial SSU rRNA
Rfam family: Bacterial small subunit ribosomal RNA
Source: RNAcentral
AGAUGGACCCGCGCCGUAUUAGCUAGUUGGUAAGGUAACGGCUUACCAAGGCGACGAUACGUAGCCGACCUGAGAGGGUGAUCGGCCACACUGGAACUGAGACACGGUCCAGACUCCUACGGGAGGCAGCAGUAGGGAAUCUUCCGCAAUGGGCGAAAGCCUGACGGAGCAACGCCGCGUGAGUGAUGAAGGUCUUCGGAUCGUAAAACUCUGUUAUUAGGGAAGAACAUACGUGUAAGUAACUGUGCACGUCUUGACGGUACCUAAUCAGAAAGCCACGGCUAACUACGUGCCAGCAGCCGCGGUAAUACGUAGGUGGCAAGCGUUAUCCGGAAUUAUUGGGCGUAAAGCGCGCGUAGGCGGUUUUUUAAGUCUGAUGUGAAAGCCCACGGCUCAACCGUGGAGGGUCAUUGGAAACUGGAAAACUUGAGUGCAGAAGAGGAAAGUGGAAUUCCAUGUGUAGCGGUGAAAUGCGCAGAGAUAUGGAGGAACACCAGUGGCGAAAGCGACUUUCUGGUCUGUAACUGACGCUUAAUGUGCGAAAGCGUGGGGAUCAAACAGGAUUAGAUACCCUGGUAGUCCACGCCGUAAACGAUGAGUGCUAAGUGUUAAGGGGGUUUCCGCCCCUUAGUGCUGCAGCUAACGCAUUAAGCACUCCGCCUGGGGAGUACGACCGCAAGGUUGAGACUCACAGGAAUUGACGGGGACGCGCACAAGCCGGUGGAGCAUGUGGUUUAUUUCUAAGCAACGCGGAGAACCUUACCAAAUCUUGACAUCCUUUGACAACUCUCGAGAUAGAG